GUCUACAGCCCUACCACCCUGAACACACCCAAUCUCAUCUGAUCUCAGAAGCUAAGCGGGGGUGAGGCCUGCUUAGUACUUGAGUGGGAGAACUGAGAAAUGAAAACC
Molecule: ribosomal RNA, 108 nt
Filed under: Canis lupus familiaris (dog)
Lineage: Eukaryota; Metazoa; Chordata; Mammalia; Carnivora; Canidae
Source: RNAcentral